UCUGGAGAGGAGAGAGACUGGAC
RNAcentral lists this non-coding RNA (23 nucleotides) under Cricetulus griseus (Chinese hamster). Lineage: Eukaryota; Metazoa; Chordata; Mammalia; Rodentia; Cricetidae. The record is from RNAcentral.